Molecule: transfer RNA, 73 nt
Filed under: Merluccius polli (Benguela hake)
Lineage: Eukaryota; Metazoa; Chordata; Actinopteri; Gadiformes; Merlucciidae
Description: tRNA-Tyr
Rfam family: tRNA
About the family: Transfer RNA (tRNA) molecules are approximately 80 nucleotides in length. Their secondary structure includes four short double-helical elements and three loops (D, anti-codon, and T loops).
Source: RNAcentral
CCUUCGAUAGCUCAGUUGGUAGAGCGGAGGACUGUAGAUCCUUAGGUCGCUGGUUCAAAUCUGGCUUGAAGGA